CCAGUCUAAAUUCCGGUUCCAUAGACCAAAUGCGGGGAGGCAAAAAAUUCUUUCUCCCGCGCGAAGGCUCCUAUUCGACAAGGCAGAAGUCUUUCCAGCAUAGAACCUUGCAGAGGAAGAGGAAUUUUGAAGAAGAGAGAAAGGUUAACGAGCAAGAUAAAUUGCAGAAAGGUUUACGAUCAAGCGAUUGACUCUUCGCAUCUUCUCCAAGCCAAGGGUUUCUGCUCGUUUCAAAAGAGAGUGAAAGAACUAAGAGGGAGCCGCACGGUUGAGUGAAAGAGCCAAGGGUUUCUGCUCGUUUCAAAAUAGAGGGUUUCUGCUCGUUUCAAAAUAGAGGGUUUCUGCUCGUUUCAAAAUCUCCGCUCAGGAUGUUGAGGAGAACAUCUGCACAUUUGUGAAGAAGGGUUUGGAUUCAGAUUCAGAGUUUGAGGAGCCGAAUGCAGAUGCAGUACAGUCCACUCCCAACUCCCAAGUCCCACCAGAAGGAAGCCACUAGCAAGAGGCAAAUAAAUAGAGUGGCCGAAGCUGUGAAUUGAUCAUAGACGGGAGUUCCUAGCCUUGGCCGACGGCGAAGCAUUCACAGUACAAGGCUUGCUGGCUUCCCUUGCUUGCAAAACAAGAUGAGCCUUGGAUUUCAGAAGGCCCUUUGGUUGUGCCUCUUGAUUGUGAAUGGAUCUGGCACUGUCAUAGGCUCAACCCAGUCCAGUACAAAGCAGACUGUGAGGAAUUUUAUGGGAGGAUCCUUGACAAUUGUAAUGUUGUGUCAACCAUUCAAGGUGCUUCCACAAAGAAAACUAAAGAAAUUUGGAACAGACUGUAUCCUGAAGAGCCAUACAAGCUUGACUUAGGCAUCUCUUUAUCAAAAAAUAUUGAUGAAAAGUUUUCAGAGGCUCUUAGAUGCACAAAAUAUGAUUUGAUUUCAGCUGUUAAAAGGCAGAGCCCUUUCUUUUACCAGCACACCCCUGGGUCAGAGAAGGGGGAGAUGCCUCAGAGAUCCCUGUGGAUAUAUCAGUGCUAUCUAAUAUGCGGCAAUUUGUGAAGUACAGCCGGUUGAAGCAGUUUGCACUAAGGGCCUUGGCUAGCACACUUGAUGAAGAGGAGCUUGCUGAUCUUAAAGAUCAAUUUGAUGCAAUUGAUGUGGACAAAAAUGGUUCUAUUAUCUUGAAGA
RNA transcript from Nelumbo nucifera (sacred lotus), 1168 nucleotides. It is a transcript of the gene named glycine-rich domain-containing protein 1-like, with no coding region annotated. The record is from RefSeq and is a predicted model, not a curated record. NCBI's taxonomy places the organism in Eukaryota, Viridiplantae, Streptophyta, Magnoliopsida, Proteales, Nelumbonaceae.